This 1446-nucleotide long non-coding RNA is filed under the name Sinocyclocheilus grahami. RNAcentral describes it as "lncRNA (ENSSGRG00000038011.1)". The record is from RNAcentral. Lineage: Eukaryota; Metazoa; Chordata; Actinopteri; Cypriniformes; Cyprinidae.
AGUUUGUAUGCAGUCAUUACCCUGCAAGAAUCAAGUGAGCUGACUGUGAUACCAACAAACUGGCUGAAUGAACACAAGACACAAUGUUACUGGCCUCCAUUCAAGGCACCUAAGACAUGCACAGAAGCUGUAAAGAACAGACUUGAACCUGCUAGAGGAGAAAAUCCAUGGGAGAUGCUGAACAUCAUAUUUCAUGAACAACAUGCCACUUUUGAGCAGGCUAAAGAGAAGGAAGAAGCACUCAGACAGCAGACUGAACUACCCUCUACAUCUUUUGGAUGUCUUGAAAGACAAAACUCUCCACUGCGAUCAGGAAUAUCCACUGGCUUUUCCUCCCAAACCACAGUCAUUAGUCAUGAUAUGGAGAUAAGAAACAAAGCAAAGCAGAUCAUUGAAAGAGUUAUGGCCCAAAUUCAGACCACACCAAAUGCAUUAAAACCUGACAUUGUAGACGCCGUUUCAAAGCUAAAUAAAAUUGAUAAAGACAGCAAAAUGAAGGCAACCAUAGGGGUUUUUGGAAGAACAGGAGUAGGAAAAAGCUCUCUAAUAAAUGCAGUCCUAGGAGAAAAAUAUUUACUGCCUUCCAGUUAUAUGUCUGCAUGCACAUCUGUGAUUACACAGGUGGAAGCAAAUCUGAGCGACUCCAACUACACAGCAGAGAUUGAAUUCUUUUCUAAAGAGGUUUGCUCAAAAAAUAUAUAUUUUUAUAUAGAUUUUCAUUUUAAUAAGAUUAAAUAAUAGUUAGUAACAGAAGAUUAAACAAAACAUACUUGAAGGAUGUACCGUUCUGCUCAUAAGUUUAAAUACCCCUUACAGAAUCUACAUGUUAUGUGCUAUAUGGUAUGCUGUGUUAUUUUGCAGGAAUGGGAAAUUGAGAUUGUUUCAUCAGAAAAAAACGAGGAUAGGGACAACCUUAUAACAGAAAUUAUUAAAGAAAAGAUAAUUGCACUGUAUGGAGCUGAUGCAGGGAAGAAAACUUUGAAAGAGCUCAAGAAAGUGGACAAAUAUAUUGAAAUUAACAAUGUUUUGUCUACUGGGAAGAUGACAAUCUCGAACCAGAAUCUGUCUGAUAUUACCUGUGCAGUUGCUCAAUACAUAAAAGACGAUGAGUCAAAUCCUGGUGGCUGGUACUGGCCGCUUGUGAAGAGUGUAACAAUCAAGACUCCUAACUGUCGUGAACUCCUGGAGCACAUUGUCUUGGUUGAUAUUCCUGGUACUGGAGACUGCAACAAGAUCAGAGAUGACCUCUGGAGAUCUAAACUAAAGCACUGUUCAUCUGUGUGGAUUGUAAGUGACAUCAACCGAGCAGUCUCAGACAAAGACCCCUGGGAAAUAUUGGAGCACUGCAUUCAAGACUUGGGAGGAGGAGGAGAAUGCAAACACAUCAACUUCAUCUGCACCAAGACCGAUCAGAUUAAUUCAAGGGGAUAUCUUGCGUUAGAAUAA